Molecule: non-coding RNA, 363 nt
Organism: Schizosaccharomyces pombe (fission yeast)
Lineage: Eukaryota; Fungi; Ascomycota; Schizosaccharomycetes; Schizosaccharomycetales; Schizosaccharomycetaceae
Source: the annotation of a GenBank genome assembly
UCAGCUCUUUCUCCUAUUGUUAAACUAUUAUUAUUGUUAUGAAGUACAUGAUUUUAAUUCGCUAAAUUCGAUCCACACCGUCAAGUUUUUAUGCGUUUGCAACUCAAAAACAUGGUAUUUCGCUACAAACUCAAAUUGGUUCCGAUCAACUGGUUAUUUUUUAUGUUUAAGAAAACAUUUCAUUUUACAUUUCUUUCAACUUUCCUUUACCUACUAAAACUUCAACUUAAACAAGCUUAUGAUUUAUCAAGUUUCUUGAUUUUAAAAAAAUGACCCCUAAGUGACUUGAACACUUGACUUUGAGAUUUGGAAUCUCACACUCUACCAACUGAGUUAAGGGGCCAUGUAUAUUCUCUAAGCAAA